Molecule: ribosomal RNA, 1428 nt
Filed under: Lactiplantibacillus plantarum
Lineage: Bacteria; Bacillati; Bacillota; Bacilli; Lactobacillales; Lactobacillaceae
Description: bacterial SSU rRNA
Rfam family: Bacterial small subunit ribosomal RNA
Source: RNAcentral
UGCAAGUCGAACGAACUCUGGUAUUGAUUGGUGCUUGCAUCAUGAUUUACAUUUGAGUGAGUGGCGAACUGGUGAGUAACACGUGGGAAACCUGCCCAGAAGCGGGGGAUAACACCUGGAAACAGAUGCUAAUACCGCAUAACAACUUGGACCGCAUGGUCCGAGUUUGAAAGAUGGCUUCGGCUAUCACUUUUGGAUGGUCCCGCGGCGUAUUAGCUAGAUGGUGGGGUAACGGCUCACCAUGGCAAUGAUACGUAGCCGACCUGAGAGGGUAAUCGGCCACAUUGGGACUGAGACACGGCCCAAACUCCUACGGGAGGCAGCAGUAGGGAAUCUUCCACAAUGGACGAAAGUCUGAUGGAGCAACGCCGCGUGAGUGAAGAAGGGUUUCGGCUCGUAAAACUCUGUUGUUAAAGAAGAACAUAUCUGAGAGUAACUGUUCAGGUAUUGACGGUAUUUAACCAGAAAGCCACGGCUAACUACGUGCCAGCAGCCGCGGUAAUACGUAGGUGGCAAGCGUUGUCCGGAUUUAUUGGGCGUAAAGCGAGCGCAGGCGGUUUUUUAAGUCUGAUGUGAAAGCCUUCGGCUCAACCGAAGAAGUGCAUCGGAAACUGGGAAACUUGAGUGCAGAAGAGGACAGUGGAACUCCAUGUGUAGCGGUGAAAUGCGUAGAUAUAUGGAAGAACACCAGUGGCGAAGGCGGCUGUCUGGUCUGUAACUGACGCUGAGGCUCGAAAGUAUGGGUAGCAAACAGGAUUAGAUACCCUGGUAGUCCAUACCGUAAACGAUGAAUGCUAAGUGUUGGAGGGUUUCCGCCCUUCAGUGCUGCAGCUAACGCAUUAAGCAUUCCGCCUGGGGAGUACGGCCGCAAGGCUGAAACUCAAAGGAAUUGACGGGGGCCCGCACAAGCGGUGGAGCAUGUGGUUUAAUUCGAAGCUACGCGAAGAACCUUACCAGGUCUUGACAUACUAUGCAAAUCUAAGAGAUUAGACGUUCCCUUCGGGGACAUGGAUACAGGUGGUGCAUGGUUGUCGUCAGCUCGUGUCGUGAGAUGUUGGGUUAAGUCCCGCAACGAGCGCAACCCUUAUUAUCAGUUGCCAGCAUUAAGUUGGGCACUCUGGUGAGACUGCCGGUGACAAACCGGAGGAAGGUGGGGAUGACGUCAAAUCAUCAUGCCCCUUAUGACCUGGGCUACACACGUGCUACAAUGGAUGGUACAACGAGUUGCGAACUCGCGAGAGUAAGCUAAUCUCUUAAAGCCAUUCUCAGUUCGGAUUGUAGGCUGCAACUCGCCUACAUGAAGUCGGAAUCGCUAGUAAUCGCGGAUCAGCAUGCCGCGGUGAAUACGUUCCCGGGCCUUGUACACACCGCCCGUCACACCAGGGAGAGUUUGUAACACCCAAAGUCGGUGGGGUAACCUUUUAGGAA